This 1706-nucleotide ribosomal RNA is filed under the name Liparis ochotensis. Its description in RNAcentral is "16S ribosomal RNA". It matches the Rfam family "Bacterial large subunit ribosomal RNA". The record is from RNAcentral. Lineage: Eukaryota; Metazoa; Chordata; Actinopteri; Perciformes; Liparidae.
CGCCCAACAGCUAGCCCUUCAACAACCUCAACACACCCCUAUUAAUACCCCCUAAAUACCCCAGUAUUUACUUUAAACAAAUCAUUUUUCCCCCUUAGUAUCGGCGACAGAAAAGGGGCCCCCGGCGCAAUAGAGAAAGUACCGCAAGGGAAUGCUGAAAGAGAAAUGAAAUAACCCAGUAAAGCCCCAAAAAGCAGAGAUAAAUUCUCGUACCUUUUGCAUCAUGAUUUAGUGAGUGUCCCCCAAGCAAAGCGUACUUUAGUUUGGCCUCCCGAAACUACGUGAGCUACUUCAAGACAGCCUAUUAAUAGGGCUAACCCGUCUCUGUGGCAAAAGAGUGGGAAGAACUUUGAGUAGAGGUGACAAACCUACCGAACCUAGUUAUAGCUGGUUGUCCAAGAAAUGAAUAGAAGUUCAGCCUCUAAGCUUCUCCUUUCACCCAGGUUUAACCCCUUCGGAUGCAUAAAGAAACUAAGAGAGUUAGUCAAAGGAGGUACAGCUCCUUUGAACCAAGACACAACUUUAACAGGCGGGUAAAGAUCAUAAUAACUAAAGCUAAACAUCCUGGUGGGCCUAAAAGCAGCCAUCCCCAUAGAAAGCGUUAAAGCUCAAGCAUAUUAAUUACCCCUUCUUAUUCUGAUCAAUAAAUCUCAUCCCCCUAACUAUACUGGACCAUCCCAUGCCUCCAUGGGUGUGACUAUGCUAAUAUGAGUAAUAAGAGAGCCCUAGCCUCUCUCCCUGCACACGUGUACCUCGGAACGGACAACCCCCCGACCAUUAACGGCCCCAAAUAAAGAGGGCAUUAGACCAUAAACUAAAGACCCAGAAAAAUGUCUAAAAAUUAACCGUUAAACCUACACAGGUGUGCCCCAGGGAAAGACCUAAAGAAAGAAAAGGAACUCGGCAAACACAUUAAGCCUCGCCUGUUUACCAAAAACAUCGCCUCUUGUACCCACUAAAAUAAGAGGUCCCGCCUGCCCUGUGACUAUUAGUUUAACGGCCGCGGUAUUUUGACCGUGCGAAGGUAGCGCAAUCACUUGUCUUUUAAAUGAAGACCCGUAUGAAUGGCAUAACGAGGGCUUAGCUGUCUCCUCUUUCAAGUCAAUGAAAUUGAUCUUUCCGUGCAGAAGCGGGAAUACAAACAUAAGACGAGAAGACCCUAUGGAGCUUCAGACACUAAGACAGCUUACGUUAAACACCCCAAAAUAAAGGGAACAAACUAAACAAGCUCUGCCCUAAUGUCUUUGGUUGGGGCGACCGCGGGGAACUAAAUAACCCCCACGUGGAGCGGGAGAACUCCUCCUACAGCUAAGAGCUACAGCUCUAAUAAACAGAAAUUCUGACCAGCAAGAUCCGGCAAUGCCGAUCAACGGACCGAGUUACCCUAGGGAUAACAGCGCAAUCCUCUUUUAGAGCCCAUAUCGACAAGGGGGUUUACGACCUCGAUGUUGGAUCAGGACAUUGUUGGAUCAGGACAUCCCAAUGGUGCAGCCGCUAUUAAGGGUUCGUUUGUUCAACGAUUAAAGUCCUACGUGAUCUGAGUUCAGACCGGAGUAAUCCAGGUCAGUUUCUAUCUAUGCUAUGCUUUUUUCUAGUACGAAAGGACCGAAAAGAAGAGGCCUCUACUUAAGGCACGCCUCCCCCCUACCCAAUGAAAUCAACUAAAGUAGACAAAGGGGCAUGCCCUAACGCCUGAGAAAAAGGCA